UCGCCAUGUUCACCCACCAGAUGAUGGUCGCUUAGUCUGAUACACAGACUAACCACAGGCAAUCAUUAAGGCCUGAAUGAACCCUGUUAUGUCAGGACAGUGUGUGUGUGUGUGUUGUGUGUGUGUGUGUGUGUGUGUGUGUGUGUGUGUGUGUGUGUGAGUGAGAGACAGUACCUUGCUCCAGCUGCAGUACACACCACAUCCUGAAGACAUUUCUCUUGAAUCUCAUCAUCCAAAAUGACCUAACAAACAUACACUUACCAUUACCAAAUCAUUUUCAAAGUGACAGCAAUCACAAGUUACUUCCCGUGUCUUUUUCACCCAA
Molecule: long non-coding RNA, 325 nt
Organism: Etheostoma spectabile (orangethroat darter)
Lineage: Eukaryota; Metazoa; Chordata; Actinopteri; Perciformes; Percidae
Exons: 3
Source: RefSeq, a predicted model, not a curated record